GACGAACGCUGGCGGCGUGCUUAACACAUGCAAGUCGAACGGAAAGGCCCUGCUUUUGUGGGGUGCUCGAGUGGCGAACGGGUGAGUAACACGUGAGUAACCUGCCCUUGACUUUGGGAUAACUUCAGGAAACUGGGGCUAAUACCGGAUAGGAGCUCCUGCUGCAUGGUGGGGGUUGGAAAGUUUCGGCGGUUGGGGAUGGACUCGCGGCUUAUCAGCUUGUUGGUGGGGUAGUGGCUUACCAAGGCUUUGACGGGUAGCCGGCCUGAGAGGGUGACCGGCCACGUUGGGACUGAGAUACGACCCAGACUCCUACGGGAGGCAGCAGUGGGGAAUAUUGCACAAUGGGCGGAGGCCUGAUGCAGCAACGCCGCGUGCGGGAUGACGGCCUUCGGGUUGUAAUCCGCUUUCGCCUGUGACGAGGCGUGAGUGACGGUAAUGGGUAAAGAAGCACCGGCUAACUACGUG
This 468-nucleotide ribosomal RNA is filed under the name uncultured bacterium. RNAcentral describes it as "partial 16S ribosomal RNA". It matches the Rfam family "Bacterial small subunit ribosomal RNA", at positions 28 to 507 of the family's 1533-position model. The record is from RNAcentral.